Long non-coding RNA from Chelonia mydas (Green sea turtle), 1311 nucleotides. RefSeq lists it as uncharacterized. The transcript has 3 exons. NCBI's taxonomy places the organism in Eukaryota, Metazoa, Chordata, Testudines, Cheloniidae. The record is from RefSeq and is a predicted model, not a curated record.
UCUGAAUUAGGAAGUAGAGCAGCCAUCUGUAAGCUACGACAAUAUUUGUGAACGGAAGAGGGCAGCCACAUGGAUUUUUUCCCCCUUUCCCUUUACUGCAAAGCCUACAAAUCUGCUCCCUGGAAUGAAACGAUCUCUGAAGAAAGGCAAUGGCUCGAUGUUGUUUACUUUGAACAUUUUUUCCCUUGCAAAAGUAACAAGCGGGAUUUGUGCGUGCGUGUGUGUGCGUGCGCCAGAGUCAAGUUUCCAUGAAUUUCCUGCACUUGGAGCAUUUUAAUAUUAACAAUAAAAGCAACGAUCCAGGGGGACUCAAUCUGACUUGCACGGCAGAUUUAAGGUGGCAAUUUGUUUACAACUUUCAUUUUUCCUCCAGCCGCUGGGGGUAAACAUUACAAACUUUCUCUACUACAGGAUUUCUCUCUUAAGGAAGCCGCCACUCCACACUUAUUGGAAAACGUAACAAAGCAAAACUUCGGCCAAAAAGAAGGGAACCAUUGAAACUUUUCCCCGUUACAGCCUGGUGUUAUAGAAGUUGAACGGAACUACAGAGGGAUGGAGAGAAGCACAGCAAAGAAAGAGGCAAGAGACUAGGGAAAGAGAGGAGAGUGACCCACAAGGCAAAACACCGUGAAACUGUCCCGGAUGACUACAUUCUCUGUUCAUGUCUAAGACCCCAUAGGGGAACAGAAGUGUGAGGAUAUACUGAUUGUUUGCAGUAUUGUAUCCUGGGAACCAGCAUGGCUAUGAGAGAGACAAGGUGAAAGGUAAAGUAUGAUCUCAUGGACAAAAUUCUGCCCUUGUCUUUGUGACGGUGAAGGCUCCUUUCAUAGUGGAACCAGGCUGGCUCAACUGCACAAGAAGAGGGGAAGGAAGGAUUCCAGUCAGCCCUACAAGGAACAACGAUAACCCCAUCUAGUAUGGAGCUCAGCUCUGUGGGCCCCACUGGGCAACAAUGUGCAGGAAUGAUUGGGAGUGGGAUCUAGACAGGCCAGGUAGGGUUGGAGUGGGGCCAGGGAUCUGAGAAGAAGGGCUAUUUGCACUGGGCUCCAUUAUGGUGUUGCCACUAGCCCUGCAUUAGGGACAGUGUGUUGCUGCACUACUCCUGCAGCAACACAAGUGGGAGAUUGUGACUCAGAGGUUUACAGUGUCCCUCCCUCUCCCCACACUAUUCUGGGGAGGGAGAAUGCUGUGCUGCGUCUGUAUUCAGCAUGAAAUAUGCACACCAAGGUGGUGGCAUAACUGCACUGAUGGGUGCACUGCAAGGCUGAUCCAAGGGUUUGCCCACUCCCCACCCCCUCCUGCCCACCUGUA